GGGGAUGUGGUUUAGUGGUAUAAUGCCUCUUUAGCAUUGGAGCCUCUCAUUGUCGUGAGAUGGUCUACUAGCUAAGGUAGAGGCGGUCCGGGGUUCGAUUCCCCGCGUCUCCA
This is a non-coding RNA of Morchella snyderi, 113 nucleotides long. NCBI's taxonomy places the organism in Eukaryota, Fungi, Ascomycota, Pezizomycetes, Pezizales, Morchellaceae. The record is from the annotation of a GenBank genome assembly.